This is a long non-coding RNA of Gasterosteus aculeatus aculeatus (three-spined stickleback), 2371 nucleotides long. Lineage: Eukaryota; Metazoa; Chordata; Actinopteri; Perciformes; Gasterosteidae. The record is from Ensembl.
UAUAUAUAUAUAUAUAUAUAUAUAUAUAGUUACAUAUAUAGACAUGCAUAUAUCUAUCUAUAGUUACAUAUAUAUUCAGUUAAAUGAAUACAAAUACCACACAUGAGUACUACAGUAUUGCAUAUUAGUAAAUGUGUCUCGCUUCAUCUUGUGAGCAUCUGUAUCUCUCCCGUUGCAUUGUGGGACUUCCUGGCAUGUCUUUUGUCCCUCCUGUGUUGCUGUACGCCUCGUUAAAUACUUCAAACGUCUCACACCACACACAAAAAUACAUUCCUGGUAUUUUUAGGACCCCCAUCCAGAUGUGUUUCCCCUCCUGACUCCAGACAGAUGCUGUAUUUAGAGAACGUGUCUUCACCUCUCACACCUGACUGAGGGACAUGUCCCUCUGAGGUCCAACACAGCGCCCUGUCGGAUUAUUCACGUGUGUGUGUGUGUGUGGCGAGCUGUUUGUUGUGUGAAAGAUAACUGAUCGAUAACAAAGUCCAAACAACAUCUUUUUCAUUUAAAAACUAGCUUCUAGUUUCUCUUGUUCACCUGAAUAAACAUCUGGACUGCUUAUGUCUUAACGUGUUUCCAGGUGACCUCUAAGUGUCCUCUUUUCUCUCCGGGAGACCCUUAAGUGUCUCCAGGUGUCCCCAGGUGACCUCUCAGUGUCUCCAGGUGUCCCCAGGUGACCUCUCAGUGUCUCCAGGUGUUGGUACUCCUACGUUUUCAACCUACAGCCUGUAGAGUCUCCAGCGGCAGAGGAACUCCCUAAAAGCUCUUUGCUUUUAUUUCACCUUUCAAAAGUGACGGAAAGAUUGAACGUUUUGAACAUUUAACAUUUGGACUGACAACAGACUCCUGGAGUCUCCUGGGGUCCCAAGUCUUUGGCUCGGGGUCCAGGUGCUCUGUGCUCAGGUGUGUUGAGUGGACUCGGGUUCAUUGAGGUGAUUCAGGUCAGCGUGGCGCAGGGUAGAGAGGGUCGAGCCCUGUCUGCUCCGUGUCCCAUGUCGAGGUGUCGCAUUAAGACACGUACCCCCUAACUGCUCCGUGUCCCAUGUCGAGGUGUCACAUUAAGACACGUACCCCCUAACUGCUCCGUGUCCCAUGUCGAGGUGUCACAUUAAGACACGUACCCCCUAACUGCUCCGUGUCCCAUGUCGAGGUGUCACAUUAAGACACGUACCCCCUAACUGCUCCGUGUCCCAUGUCGAGGUGUCACAUUAAGACACGUACCCCCUAACUGCUCCCCGGCAUGUAAAAAGCGACGGGUUAAAAAUGCAACGUAAGUGGCUUUGGAUAAAAUGCUAAAUGACCUGUAAUGUGAUUCAGACUAAACACAGUAAAUCAUCACUCCUUCAUCUCGUCUCCACAGCCUGCUGGUCCGCCCAGGACGACCUGCUGCACACCCAGUCUAAACAAAACCCUGUUACCCACAAUGCACCUCGCACCUUUCCACGUGUCAUUUCCCAGAAUGUUCUGAAAACGAACCUCAGAGGAAUCCUGAGGGAAAGUUCUCACAUCUGCUCCAAAGAUGAGAAGCUAAAGGGAAGUUUAGAGAUUUUAAUUCAUAUUAUAAAGUUCAUAACGUAAACCAGCCUUUAAAACAUGACGGAGAACCUGUGUGUUGGAGGCGCGUGUAAUUCAUGCACAAAUAAACAAAUAACAGUGACAAGAAGCUAAAGGACAACUAUUACAGGUCAAAUGGUUUUCAAAUUGAACAAUUAAUGUUUGAAGAGGAGCUCAUUGCGCCUCAUGACGGCGUUUCAACGUGUUCUGAGCACAUGAGACACUGGUUUAGUGCUGUGUGUGAAGUAUGAAUAGAAAUAAGUCUGUCCAUUGAGGAUUAAAUGUUUUACUUUCGCUGUCCACUUAUUCCUCGUUUUUCUCACGGUUCUUUUUUUCAAAUUUCACUCGUUUACUUUUUCUCUUUUUAUUUGUAUUUUGCCGCUACCUCUGUCGUCUGUCCGCAGUAUUGAGACGAUAUCAUCGUCCUGCCUGGAAUGCAAAGACUCGAUUGGUCGAGUGGUAUCACGUUGGAUGGUUGAACUCGAUUGCGAUUGGUUAAGCCACUAACGUUUAAGUCACUACCGUAAAGACGACCAAAGCUGCGCGGGUCACAACAACCGUUUGUUUUUAGCUUUUGGUCCAGAUGGGACAGCUUCUGGAUCCAGAUCCAGACCGCGUCCCGCCAAUUAGUGACCUCUGGGCCACGUUGUAGCAUUAAGUUGUAGCAUUGACUUGUUAGGCUACGUUGUAGCAUUAAGUUGUAGCAUUGGGUUGUUAGGCUACGCUGUAGCAUUAAGUUGUAGCAUUGAGUUGUUAGGCUACGCUGUAGCAUUAAGUUGUAGCAUUGGGUUGUUAGGCUACGUUGUAGCAUUAAGUUGUA